Molecule: long non-coding RNA, 1348 nt
Filed under: Vulpes vulpes (red fox)
Lineage: Eukaryota; Metazoa; Chordata; Mammalia; Carnivora; Canidae
Description: lncRNA (ENSVVUG00000016032.1)
Source: RNAcentral
UGUCCCAUCCUUCAACAGAAACUGGAGUCCCUUGAUGUUAGUCAGCUUGUGGCUGAACCAACGGGGGGAAGAGGGUGGAGAGGCAAGCCAUGGGGUUGGGCUCCAUAUAGGAGCCCGGCUUCUUCAGUCUUCUGCGCCAGGGACCAGCUGGUCACAUUAUCCUUCCCCUGAACUGAUCUUUUCCCUGAAACCUUGGCUUGGAUCGCUUCCUGCAAACGAUGUGUAAUCUGCAUGUAUGCCAGUCACAGGACAUCUCCUCUGCUGGCAGUGUGCAAGGCCAAGGCAACAGUGAAACCAUCUCAUUAAUGAUUCAGCAUGCCACCCUAGUGGCCACUGGAGCGCACAGUCCACGUGUAGAUCUGAAGUGGGUGUUCGGCUCCUUGCCUUGGCUCCCUGGGAGAGACGCUCUUACCCCGGGCUGCAUGUGAGAACCCCCUGGAACAUGAACCAUUACAUUCAGAUUCCGCGGGCCAGAGGCAGGCCCAGGUGGCCCUACCUUCCCGCUCCCCAUGUGGUUUGAUCUGCAGCCAGGGCAAAGCGCCCCCGCUUGGGGAGAGCUUGCGUGCAAGCCCCGUCCAUGACCUCACACCCCUGCCCACAUUCUCUUGCUGGAGGGAAGACUUCUUGCCCUCCCAGAAGAAAAGCAAAAGGGAUUCUUGGGGAUUAGAGUCAGGGAUGUAAUUUUCUUAGUUUGUGGCAAAUCUUUAUCUUUCUGUAAAGCAAAUACCACAAAAAGUAUGGAACACUGAAAAAAAAAUCACUCUUGCUGGUGUUUUUGUAGCGGUACUGGCUCAGCAGCCUGGGCAACCAUGCAGACUUACUGCUUUUGUUUCUGCUAGAACCUUUAUGUGACCCUCAGGAAAAUAGGAUGCUGCGGUUUUGACCUCUGUGGGUUUCUCUAUUGAACCGGUCCUCAGAGCCAGAGGAUUCAGAGCCGGGUCCGGGGUUCUGCUCUUGGCAGUUAUCAAGAACGUGAUGGGAGGAAACUUGUCAGAGACAAAGCGCUUCUCAUAGAAGAGGUGGUAUUCUGAAAGGAAGGAUGUGCCCAGUCCUGGCCUGCACAGGCCAGUCGGCAGCAUGCCCCUUGCUUUCCAGGUAGGUAGACCAUGUAUUUUUUUAAGAUUUUGUUUAUUUAUUUAUUUGACAGAGAGAAAGCGUGAGAGCGCCCAAGGGGGAGCAGUAGAGGGAGAGGAAGUAGCAGGUUCCCUGUUGAGCAGGGAGCCUAGCAUGGGGUUCAAUUCCAUGACCCUGGGAUCAUGAUUUGAGCCAAGGGCAGAUGCUUAACUGACUGAGCUACCCAAGUGCCCCAAAGAAAGGCCAGAUUUUGAUUACUCUGCCUGUUGAGGGC